AAACGCAUGGUAAACCCCACCGGGAGCAAAACCGAAUAGGGAUGGCCGGAUGGGGCGCCUCGGCGCUGCCAUCGGACGGGUUUUCGCGUCGCUAUCCGGGUUGGUUGCUCGACGCAGUCAGUAAUGGCUGUGCUAGAUGAAUGAUCAUCCAGAGGCAGCAAUGCCUUGGACAGAACCCGGCUUACAGGCCAUCUGGCGGC
This 200-nucleotide RNase P RNA is filed under the name Rhodospirillaceae bacterium. Its description in RNAcentral is "partial RNase P RNA component class A". It matches the Rfam family "Bacterial RNase P class A", at positions 197 to 367 of the family's 367-position model. Rfam says of the family: Ribonuclease P (RNase P) is a ubiquitous endoribonuclease, found in archaea, bacteria and eukarya as well as chloroplasts and mitochondria. Its best characterised activity is the generation of mature 5'-ends of tRNAs by cleaving the 5'-leader elements of precursor-tRNAs. Lineage: Bacteria; Pseudomonadati; Pseudomonadota; Alphaproteobacteria; Rhodospirillales; Rhodospirillaceae. The record is from RNAcentral.